Molecule: unclassified non-coding RNA, 278 nt
Filed under: fungal sp.
Lineage: Eukaryota; Fungi
Description: partial internal transcribed spacer region
Rfam family: Eukaryotic small subunit ribosomal RNA (bases 1-46)
Source: RNAcentral
AAGUCGUAACAAGGUUUCCGUAGGUGAACCUGCGGAAGGAUCAUUAAUAAAAAAUAAAUUUUAUAAAUUAUAUGUAUAUAUUUUAUAUAUGCAUAUAAAAUUUAUAAUUUAACAUAAGAACUUUUUUUUUUAUAAAAAAUUAUUAGGAAUAUAUCAGAAUGAUAAAAAGUUUUGAUAUAUUUUUUAUAUAUAUAAUUUAAAUAUUUAUUAUUAUAAAUUUAAACUUUAUUAUUAAUUUUAAUUAAAUAUAACUUUUAACAAUGGAUCUCUUGGCUCUU